This 340-nucleotide ribosomal RNA is filed under the name Sybistroma obscurellum. RNAcentral's name for it is "partial 12S ribosomal RNA". The record is from RNAcentral. Lineage: Eukaryota; Metazoa; Arthropoda; Insecta; Diptera; Dolichopodidae.
AAAAUUGUAUAAAUAAUAAACCUGAGUAGUAUUAGUUAAGGGCUUGAAACUCAAAAAAUUUGGCGGUAUUUUAGUCUAUUUAGAGGAACCUGUAGUAUAAUCGAUAUCCCACGAUGGACCUCACUUAAUUUUGUUUUUCAGUUUGUAUACCGCUGUUAUUUGAAAAUUUUAUAAGAAUAUUAAUUUUCAUAAUUUUAAAUUAAAAAGUAAAUCAGGUCAAGGUGCAGCUUAUGAUUAAGAAUUUAUGGGUUACAAUAAAGUUAUUUAUAUGAAUUAGAAUGUGAAAUUAUUUUAUGAAAGUGGAUUUAAUAGUAAAUUUUUAAAGAUAAAAAAAUUGAUU